AGCUCUCAGCCUUUUGGCUAAGAUCAAGUGUAGUAUCUAUUCUUAACAGAAAAGAAGGGAAAUAAAGUGUUAGGCUCAGAAGCCAGCCCCCUAACUUUUAACUAGUUCAGGCUUUUAUCCCAC
RNAcentral lists this small nuclear RNA (123 nucleotides) under Chlorocebus sabaeus (green monkey). RNAcentral describes it as "U2 spliceosomal RNA". It matches the Rfam family "U2 spliceosomal RNA". From Rfam's summary of the family: U2 is a small nuclear RNA (snRNA) component of the spliceosome (involved in pre-mRNA splicing). Complementary binding between U2 snRNA (in an area lying towards the 5' end but 3' to hairpin I) and the branchpoint sequence (BPS) of the intron results the bulging out of an unpaired adenosine, on the BPS, which initiates a nucleophilic attack at the intronic 5' splice site, thus starting the first of two transesterification reactions that mediate splicing. The record is from Rfam by way of RNAcentral. Lineage: Eukaryota; Metazoa; Chordata; Mammalia; Primates; Cercopithecidae.